Molecule: long non-coding RNA, 322 nt
Filed under: Sus scrofa (pig)
Lineage: Eukaryota; Metazoa; Chordata; Mammalia; Artiodactyla; Suidae
Description: lncRNA (ENSSSCG00060052367.1)
Source: RNAcentral
AUGCUUAAACCUACUUUAGAUGUUGACUUGCUGAGUCUCUACCAGGCCCUGGCUCCCAAUCUCACAGUCACUCGUAGAACAGAUGCUUCCCGAUGUAUGCCUGCAUUCCUCAUAGCGUCCAAACGUACAAUCACCUGCAGAAACCUGGCUUUGGCUGCUGACCAUCCUGGGUUCAAAUCAGAGCUUCUCUGCCUUUGCUGAAGUCUUCUUAGAGUCUUUCCUGAAGUCUAAGUGUGAUGAGAGCAGAGGUACCUCCGUUUCAUCACUGCAUCCUGGGCACCUAGUGGACCUGGCAAGGUGCAGCCCUAUGAGGUGAGUCACG